This 991-nucleotide ribosomal RNA is filed under the name Salmonella enterica subsp. enterica serovar Infantis. Its description in RNAcentral is "partial 23S ribosomal RNA". It matches the Rfam family "Bacterial large subunit ribosomal RNA", at positions 161 to 1190 of the family's 2925-position model. Lineage: Bacteria; Pseudomonadati; Pseudomonadota; Gammaproteobacteria; Enterobacterales; Enterobacteriaceae. The record is from RNAcentral. RNAcentral also lists the same sequence under 4 other names.
AAUCCAUAGGUUAAUGAGGCGAACCGGGGGAACUGAAACAUCUAAGUACCCCGAGGAAAAGAAAUCAACCGAGAUUCCCCCAGUAGCGGCGAGCGAACGGGGAGGAGCCCAGAGCCUGAAUCAGCAUGUGUGUUAGUGGAAGCGUCUGGAAAGGCGCGCGAUACAGGGUGACAGCCCCGUACACAAAAGCGCAUGUGCUGUGAGCUCGAUGAGUAGGGCGGGACACGUGGUAUCCUGUCUGAAUAUGGGGGGACCAUCCUCCAAGGCUAAAUACUCCUGACUGACCGAUAGUGAACCAGUACCGUGAGGGAAAGGCGAAAAGAACCCCGGCGAGGGGAGUGAAAAAGAACCUGAAACCGUGUACGUACAAGCAGUGGGAGCACAGGUUUACCUGUGUGACUGCGUACCUUUUGUAUAAUGGGUCAGCGACUUAUAUUCUGUAGCAAGGUUAACCGAAUAGGGGAGCCGGAGGGAAACCGAGUCUUAACCGGGCGUUAAGUUGCAGGGUAUAGACCCGAAACCCGGUGAUCUAGCCAUGGGCAGGUUGAAGGUUGGGUAACACUAACUGGAGGACCGAACCGACUAAUGUUGAAAAAUUAGCGGAUGACCUGUGGCUGGGGGUGAAAGGCCAAUCAAACCGGGAGAUAGCUGGUUCUCCCCGAAAGCUAUUUAGGUAGCGCCUCGUGAAUUCAUCUCCGGGGGUAGAGCACUGUUUCGGCUAGGGGGCCAUCCCGGCUUACCAACCCGAUGCAAACUGCGAAUACCGGAGAAUGUUAUCACGGGAGACACACGGCGGGUGCUAACGUCCGUCGUGAAGAGGGAAACAACCCAGACCGCCAGCUAAGGUCCCAAAGUCAUGGUUAAGUGGGAAACGAUGUGGGAAGGCCCAGACAGCCAGGAUGUUGGCUUAGAAGCAGCCAUCAUUUAAAGAAAGCGUAAUAGCUCACUGGUCGAGUCGGCCUGCGCGGAAGAUGUAACGGGGCUAAACCAU